Molecule: transfer RNA, 54 nt
Filed under: Neofoleyellides sp. XM-2022
Lineage: Eukaryota; Metazoa; Nematoda; Chromadorea; Rhabditida; Onchocercidae
Description: tRNA-Gln
Source: RNAcentral
UUGAGUUUAGUUUAAUUAAAAUUUUUGGUUUUGGUUCAAAAGAUUAUUCUCAAA